RNAcentral lists this ribosomal RNA (253 nucleotides) under uncultured prokaryote. RNAcentral's name for it is "partial 16S ribosomal RNA". It matches the Rfam family "Bacterial small subunit ribosomal RNA", at positions 525 to 777 of the family's 1533-position model. The record is from RNAcentral.
ACGUAGGCAGCAAGCGUUGUUCGGAGUUACUGGGCGUAAAGAGUGCGUAGGCGGUCCGGCAAGUUCGGUGUGAAGUCUCCCGGCCUAACUGGGAGGGUGCGCCGAAGACUGUUGGGCUGGAGUAUGGGAGAGGCAGGCGGAAUUCCUGGUGUAGCGGUGAAAUGCGUAGAGAUCGGGAGGAACAUCUGUGGCGAAGGCGGCCACCUGGACCAGCACUGACACUGAGGCACGAAAGCGUGGGGAGCAAACAGGA